RNAcentral lists this ribosomal RNA (1322 nucleotides) under Klebsiella pneumoniae. Its description in RNAcentral is "partial 23S ribosomal RNA". It matches the Rfam family "Bacterial large subunit ribosomal RNA", at positions 419 to 1746 of the family's 2925-position model. Lineage: Bacteria; Pseudomonadati; Pseudomonadota; Gammaproteobacteria; Enterobacterales; Enterobacteriaceae. The record is from RNAcentral.
GGGACACGUGGUAUCCUGUCUGAAUAUGGGGGGACCAUCCUCCAAGGCUAAAUACUCCUGACUGACCGAUAGUGAACCAGUACCGUGAGGGAAAGGCGAAAAGAACCCCGGCGAGGGGAGUGAAAAAGAACCUGAAACCGUGUACGUACAAGCAGUGGGAGCACCUUCGGGUGUGACUGCGUACCUUUUGUAUAAUGGGUCAGCGACUUAUAUUCUGUAGCAAGGUUAACCGUAUAGGGGAGCCGCAGGGAAACCGAGUCUUAACUGGGCGUUAAGUUGCAGGGUAUAGACCCGAAACCCGGUGAUCUAGCCAUGGGCAGGUUGAAGGUUGGGUAACACUAACUGGAGGACCGAACCGACUAAUGUUGAAAAAUUAGCGGAUGACUUGUGGCUGGGGGUGAAAGGCCAAUCAAACCGGGAGAUAGCUGGUUCUCCCCGAAAGCUAUUUAGGUAGCGCCUCGUGAAUUCAUCUUCGGGGGUAGAGCACUGUUUCGGCUAGGGGGUCAUCCCGACUUACCAACCCGAUGCAAACUACGAAUACCGAAGAAUGUUAUCACGGGAGACACACGGCGGGUGCUAACGUCCGUCGUGAAGAGGGAAACAACCCAGACCGCCAGCUAAGGUCCCAAAGUCAUGGUUAAGUGGGAAACGAUGUGGGAAGGCACAGACAGCCAGGAUGUUGGCUUAGAAGCAGCCAUCAUUUAAAGAAAGCGUAAUAGCUCACUGGUCGAGUCGGCCUGCGCGGAAGAUGUAACGGGGCUAAACCAUGCACCGAAGCUGCGGCAGCGACACGAUGUGUUGUUGGGUAGGGGAGCGUUCUGUAAGCCUGCGAAGGUGACCUGUGAGGGUUGCUGGAGGUAUCAGAAGUGCGAAUGCUGACAUAAGUAACGAUAAAGCGGGUGAAAAGCCCGCUCGCCGGAAGACCAAGGGUUCCUGUCCAACGUUAAUCGGGGCAGGGUGAGUCGACCCCUAAGGCGAGGCCGAAAGGCGUAGUCGAUGGGAAACAGGUUAAUAUUCCUGUACUUGGUGUUACUGCGAAGGGGGGACGGAGAAGGCUAUGUUAGCCGGGCGACGGUUGUCCCGGUUUAAGCAUGUAGGCUGGUUGUCCAGGCAAAUCCGGAUAAUCAAGGCUGAGGUGUGAUGACGAGGCACUACGGUGCUGAAGUAACAAAUGCCCUGCUUCCAGGAAAAGCCUCUAAGCAUCAGGUAACAUCAAAUCGUACCCCAAACCGACACAGGUGGUCAGGUAGAGAAUACCAAGGCGCUUGAGAGAACUCGGGUGAAGGAACUAGGCAAAAUGGUGCCGUAACUUCGGGAGAAGG